RNAcentral lists this long non-coding RNA (499 nucleotides) under Homo sapiens (human). RNAcentral describes it as "non-protein coding lnc-C2orf42-9:1". The record is from RNAcentral. Lineage: Eukaryota; Metazoa; Chordata; Mammalia; Primates; Hominidae.
GCCACUCUCUCACCAAACUGCUCCAACUGCUGGGGCACUAACCUUGUUCCUUAGAACUAGUUCCCCACUCAGCAGUUCCAGAAGUACAAAGUGGGUUCUGUAGUUCUGUGAAUUCCCUGCACAACUUUUCACUGUCUUCCCCACUCCCACCAUCUUGCAGGUUCACAGUUUAGAGCCUGGGUUUGAAACCCCAGUCUGCCACUCUUUUAUGCGCGGCCUUGGGCAUGACUCUGAGCCCGUUUCCUCCGGAUGAUGUGAACAGUGAUUAGAUACCGUGGACGAAUCACUCAUUUUGUCCAUUGUUUGAACUUUUCCUCUUCUACCUGUUCCUCUAAAUUAGCCUUGAAGCUAAAAGGUGCUUUUUGUCCCUUCUUAGGAAUCUUUGUAGUUAAUACCACUGUAUACAGUCAGACCACAAUUUUGUUUCAUGAAAAAGGCUGGAAGUAAACAUAAUGAAAGGUUAAAGAUGCUUGGGGAUGCUAAGAAUCAUUUUCUACCU